AUUUUUAGAAACUAGAAAUUAAAAGAGAAAUAAUGCAAUUGGUCUCAUAUUUUUUGGAAUUAAAAUGAGAGAGAUAUGAUUUUUUGAAAUGAAAUAAAAGAAAUAAAAUGGAAAUUAAAUCAGAAAUAAAAAAUGAGAAAAAACGUGUUGCGUUGGAUCCAAGCUCAUUAAUUGAGCUGGCGCAUCAAACGAUUCACAAG
This 200-nucleotide long non-coding RNA is filed under the name Lathyrus oleraceus (garden pea). RNAcentral's name for it is "Pisum sativum (pea) long non-coding RNA (PSAT_LNC030949)". The record is from RNAcentral. Lineage: Eukaryota; Viridiplantae; Streptophyta; Magnoliopsida; Fabales; Fabaceae.